RNAcentral lists this long non-coding RNA (2374 nucleotides) under Eucalyptus grandis. Its description in RNAcentral is "long non-coding RNA (EGRA_LNC005140)". Lineage: Eukaryota; Viridiplantae; Streptophyta; Magnoliopsida; Myrtales; Myrtaceae. The record is from RNAcentral.
UCUAAACUCUAUUCACAUCAAUUGAAGUUCACAAAAGAAGAUGGAAUCUCAAUCCAUCCGGGUCGUACUCAAGACCCCCUUCAGAAUUAUCUUCUUCUUCCAAAAAUCAUUUUCCUCAAGUUCGCCUUCGAGUUCUCCUUCUCAGACUCCUCCUCCUCAGCUCCUCAACGGAGUCCUGAAAUGUUUUUCCCCAAACUGGGAUGAGACUACGUCUCAGCGAGUUCUACCCCACUAAGCCCGAUUAGUAAACCAUUAUACUAUAGGCUGCCUAAACACGCAUAGGGCAGAAGACUUACCUUGGCCUCAUAUUCCACCUGCAAGUCAGUACAAUUCACAUACCUUACGUAUAGAAUCGAUACAUCCAGCAAUUGAAACGCAUCACUCAACUCAACAAAUCACAAGGGUCCAGAUUAUAGGGCCAAAUCGUUAUGACACGUCCCAUUCCAUGUCACACAAUUUUGUCUCAUAAUCCGGCGCAUCAAACUCAACCAUCAUGCGUUCCAAUUGUUAAUUACACCCCUCAAGGGUACGGCCAACUCUAUUGGCGGUCUUCUGGCAUUACCAGGCGUCGUCUCUCCCCGUGAGCACGGCAACGUCUCUCAAUUAGACGGCUUCCCCGAAGGGGCGUAGGUCCAGAAUCUACUGCGACCCACUACCCUAAUGCAUGGGUAACCCGAAAAGGGAUUUAGUAACGUCCGGCAUAAUUGCUCGAGACUGGUUCUCUUAACCAACACACGACCACUCAAUAUCGGCCCAGGACCCUGUGCAUUGCACUCAAAUGCCUCCGUUAAAAUAGUGAUCCUGGCCUAUUUCCUUCGUAUUAAAAACAUCCCGAAAAUAGUCGUGUGUGGGUACACGGUCAAUUCGAACCAAAAGACUGAUACUUAUCUUUUUCAAACCCCACUAUUUGAUAUAGUACUAAAAAUCCAUUUUUGGUGUUAAAACCCGAGACCCGGGAUUUUCUGAAUAAAUAUCAAAAUCCACAAAUUUUGGAAUUAAAUACCAAGAAUCCAAUCAGCACUCCAUUUGCAUAAUUUAACACUCAAUUGCAGAACUUAACCACACCAUUUACCAAUCCACAAUUCAGUCUCAAUCAAUUCCAAUCAAUUUAGAGUAAAUCUCUAAAAUAUCACAAUUUAUUUAAUUCCAUACAACGUGUAGCUCAUAUAAAUAAACGGACUGCGCCACGACGAUCAGCACGAGAUUUUGGUCGUCGGCCAUCAAAAUCUUAAUUUCCGAAAAAUAAUUAAUUUAUUAUGAAUUUCGAAAUGAAAUAAUUAAUAUUAAAAAUUCAAUUUAGCACAAAAUAAAGCCCAAUUAAAUAAACGGACUUCACCACAGUCAUCAGCAUAAAAUUCCGAUUCCGGGACCAUCUCAGUUGAAUUUUCGGAAAAUAAAUAAAUAAUUAAUUUAAUUCCGAAAAAUGAUAUUUAAAUGCCAAAAAUCACACUUAGGCCCGAAUCGCCAAAUUGAAGCCCAAUUAGGGGUCGGAAAAUUUCCGAGAUACUUCCAAUAAAUAGUAGACCACGUCUACUUGUUAAUUGCGCAAUCAAUUUAUCUAAAUCGCAUCACAAUUGACUAAUAAUUGUUAAUUUAUUCUAAUCUAACAACCUAAACAUAAUUAAUUAAAACUAAACCAACAUUAAGGAUAAUUAGCCAACUAAUCCUGAAUUAGUGAGAUUACUCACCAAAUCGCGAGCAAAUCGGAUCAAUCCGACGACGGCGACGCGAGGAACAAAACUUCCCAAAGCGACUCGCGGAUCCGGGGCCCGGAAACGGCCCAAAAGCGGGCCCGAACCAGCUGGAAACCCAUUUCGUGGGUUGCUGGUUGGCUGCGAAACAGGGGAAAACAGAGAUGGUUAGAGGCGGAGAGGGGUCGGGAAAGCAAGAGGCAGUCCGGUGAGGCCACACGGCGGCUCCGGCGGCUUGCUCGGCCACUCACGGUGGCUGGACGAGACGGAACAGGGGCGAGAGACGCACGGGGGAGGCCUGAGCGCGAGGAAACGAGGCUGGCGGCGCACGGCGGUGAGCGGCGCGCACACGGGCGCGGGCGCAGGCGUGCGGUGCGACGACGAGACAAGCGGCGACGGUGAGCUGCAGCUUCUGGUUUGGGCUUGCUGGUUCGCACGCGACAAAGGAAGGAGAAGAAGAAGCUGGUUCUAUCGUGUGCGGGAAGGAAGAAGAGAGAGGAGAGAGAAGAGAGGGGAGAGGAUAUGCAUUGACCGGUCAAAAAGGGAAGGGAGAGAGAAUAGGCGGUGGGGGAAAAAGAAUUCGCACGAGGGGGAAGGGAAAAGGGAAAGGAGAGAGAGAGAAAAGAGAAAAGAAAGAGAAUAAAGAAAAGAAGAGAGAGGGAGAGAGGGAAAUAAAAUAUUAC